AUCCAGCCAUGCCGCGUGUGUGAGGAAGGCUUUCGGGUUGUAAAGCACUUUCAGCGAGGAAGAAAGCCUCUGGAUUAAUACCCCAGAGGAAGGACAUCACUCGCAGAAGAAGCACCGGCUAACUCCGUGCCAGCAGCCGCGGUAAUACGGAGGGUGCGAGCGUUAAUCGGAAUUACUGGGCGUAAAGCGCGCGUAGGUGGCUUGGCACGCCGGUUGUGAAAGCCCCGGGCUCAACCUGGGAACGGCAUCCGGAACGGCCAGGCUAGAGUGCAGGAGAGGAAGGUAGAAUUCCCGGUGUAGCGGUGAAAUGCGUAGAGAUCGGGAGGAAUACCAGUGGCGAAGGCGGCCUUCUGGCCUGACACUGACACUGAGGUGCGAAAGCGUGGGUAGCAAACAGGAUUAGAUACCCUGGUAGUCCACGCCGUAAACGAUGUCGACUAGCCGUUGGGACCUUUAAGGACUUAGUGGCGCAGUUAACGCGAUAAGUCGACCGCCUGGGGAGUACGGCCGCAAGGUUAAAACUCAAAUGAAUUGACGGGGGCCCGCACAAGCGGUGGAGCAUGUGGUUUAAUUCGAUGCAACGCGAAGAACCUUACCUACCCUUGACAUCCAGAGAAGUUGGCAGAGAUGCCUUCGUGCCUUCGGGAACUCUGAGACAGGUGCUGCAUGGCUGUCGUCAGCUCGUGUUGUGAAAUGUUGGGUUAAGUCCCGUAACGAGCGCAACCCUUGUCCUUAUUUGC
RNAcentral lists this ribosomal RNA (740 nucleotides) under Halomonas sp. HH33C. RNAcentral describes it as "bacterial SSU rRNA". It matches the Rfam family "Bacterial small subunit ribosomal RNA", at positions 386 to 1118 of the family's 1533-position model. Lineage: Bacteria; Pseudomonadati; Pseudomonadota; Gammaproteobacteria; Oceanospirillales; Halomonadaceae. The record is from RNAcentral.